GCCCAGAUAGCACAGUUGGUUAAGAGUGUGGUGCUGACAAUGGCAAGGUUGCAGGUUUGAACCCCAUCUGGGACA
Non-coding RNA from Podarcis lilfordi (Lilford's wall lizard), 75 nucleotides. The record is from the annotation of a GenBank genome assembly. NCBI's taxonomy places the organism in Eukaryota, Metazoa, Chordata, Lepidosauria, Squamata, Lacertidae.